RNAcentral lists this ribosomal RNA (540 nucleotides) under uncultured Gammaproteobacteria bacterium. Its description in RNAcentral is "bacterial SSU rRNA". It matches the Rfam family "Bacterial small subunit ribosomal RNA", at positions 35 to 573 of the family's 1533-position model. Lineage: Bacteria; Pseudomonadati; Pseudomonadota; Gammaproteobacteria. The record is from RNAcentral.
GCUGGCGGCAGGCCUAACACAUGCAAGUCGAGCGAGAAAGCACUUCGGUGCGAGUACAGCGGCGGACGGGUGAGUAACGCGUAGGAAUCUACCUGGUAGUGGGGGACAACUCGAGGAAACUCGAGCUAAUACCGCAUACGCCCUUCGGGGGAAAGCGGGGGAUCUUCGGACCUCGCGCUAUUGGAUGAGCCUGCGUCGGAUUAGCUUGUUGGUGAGGUAAAAGCUCACCAAGGCGACGAUCCGUAGCUGGUCUGAGAGGAUGAUCAGCCACACUGGGACUGAGACAUGGCCCAGACUCCUACGGGAGGCAGCAGUGGGGAAUAUUGCGCAAUGGGGGAAACCCUGACGCAGCCAUGCCGCGUGUGUGAAGAAGGCCCUAGGGUUGUAAAGCACUUUCAAAAGGGAAGAAAAGCUGUACGUUAAUAGCGUGCAGCCGUGACAUUACCUUUAGAAGAAGCACCGGCUAACUCCGUGCCAGCAGCCGCGGUAAUACGGAGGGUGCAAGCGUUAAUCGGAAUUACUGGGCGUAAAGCGCGCGUA